Molecule: ribosomal RNA, 492 nt
Filed under: uncultured bacterium
Lineage: Bacteria
Description: partial 16S ribosomal RNA
Rfam family: Bacterial small subunit ribosomal RNA
Source: RNAcentral
AGUGAACGCUGGCGGUAGGCCUAACACAUGCAAGUCGAACGGCAGCACAGUAAGAGCUUGCUCUUACGGGUGGCGAGUGGCGGACGGGUGAGGAAUACAUCGGAAUCUACUUUUUCGUUGGGGAUAACGUAGGGAAACUUACGCUAAUACCGCAUACGACCUACGGGGGAAAGCAGGGGAUCUUCGGACCUUGCGCGAUUGAAUGAGCCGAUGUCGGAUUAGCUAGUUGGCGGGGUAAAGGCCCACCAAGGCGACGAUCCGUAGCUGGUCUGAGAGGAUGAUCAGCCACCCUGGAACUGAGCCAGGGUCCAGACUCCUACGGGAGGCAGCAGUCGGGAAUAUUGGACAAUGGGGGCGAGCCUGAUCCAGCCCUACCGCGUGGGUGCAGAAGGCCUUCGGGUUGUAAAGCCCUUUUGUUGGGAAAGAAAAGCAGCAGGUUAAUACCCCGCUGUUCUGACGGUACCCAAAGAAUAAGCACCGGCUAACUUCGUG